This is a long non-coding RNA of Zingiber officinale, 521 nucleotides long. RefSeq lists it as uncharacterized. The transcript has 3 exons. NCBI's taxonomy places the organism in Eukaryota, Viridiplantae, Streptophyta, Magnoliopsida, Zingiberales, Zingiberaceae. The record is from RefSeq and is a predicted model, not a curated record.
GACCGAAAGGCCAGCCUUUACCAGUUUGAUCCUUCCAAAAUGUGCUUCAUUUGCAGAGAUAGCUGGUGAAGAGCCAAGGAUAGAUAGAUAACAGCUAUACUUGCAGCACUAAUGGCUUCAGCCAAUGAACCUUUUGAAGUGAUUGAUCACUGCAGAAAGCUAAGGUGCUUGAUAAAGCAAGCUGCCAUUAAUGGCUGUCCUUUGAUGGAUCCAAGAUGAAGCUAGUUAGAAAUCUGAAAGCCUCAAAGUUUCACAGGUAGACAAAUAGGUUAUUAUUACUCGACAGCAUAUUUUGCUUCCUCCUGCUUCAGCUUCAUGCUCUCGUAUCAUUAUAUGUCUCUCUGCUGCCUAGAAAAAUAAUUACAGUGGAUCAGUCAAUAUUCUGUGAGGCAUACAAGUCUUGGAUUCUUUUGCUCAGUGAAGGACAAGUGUGGAUUCUAGUGCUGCAAUUGAUUGCUUGGUCCCUGGAACCCAUGUCUAUUAAAUAAUUUGGUAAAAAUAUAAUGGAACACAAAAAAGAC